RNAcentral lists this transfer RNA (74 nucleotides) under Proteobacteria bacterium CAG:495. It matches the Rfam family "tRNA". From Rfam's summary of the family: Transfer RNA (tRNA) molecules are approximately 80 nucleotides in length. Their secondary structure includes four short double-helical elements and three loops (D, anti-codon, and T loops). Further hydrogen bonds mediate the characteristic L-shaped molecular structure. tRNAs have two regions of fundamental functional importance: the anti-codon, which is responsible for specific mRNA codon recognition, and the 3' end, to which the tRNAs corresponding amino acid is attached (by aminoacyl-tRNA synthetases). tRNAs cope with the degeneracy of the genetic code in two manners: having more than one tRNA (with a specific anti-codon) for a particular amino acid; and 'wobble' base-pairing, i.e. permitting non-standard base-pairing at the 3rd anti-codon position. RNAcentral also lists the same sequence under 3 other names. The record is from Rfam by way of RNAcentral. Lineage: Bacteria; Pseudomonadati; Pseudomonadota.
GGGGGUGUAGCUCAGCUGGUUAGAGCGUCUGCCUGUCACGCAGAAGGUCGCGGGUUCGAGCCCCGUCACUCCCG